CCCUUAGAUGUUCUGGGCCGCACGCGCGCUACACUGAUGCAUUCAACGAGUCUAAAACCUGCUCUGAUAGGGGUGGGUAAUCUUUUGAAUGUGCAUCGUGAUUGGGAUAGAUGAUUGCAAUUUUUCAUCUUCAACGAGGAAUGCCUAGUAAACGCAAGUCAUCAGCUUGCAUUGAUUACGUCCCUGCCCUUUGUACACACCGCCCGUCGCUACUACCGAUUGAACGGUUUAGUGAGGGCCUCGGAUUGGUCUCGGCCCGCUCUUUACCGGGCGGCGCCGUUGGUCGAGAAGACGCUCGAACUUGAUCGUUUAGAGGAAGUAAAAGUCGUAACA
RNAcentral lists this ribosomal RNA (333 nucleotides) under uncultured eukaryote. Its description in RNAcentral is "partial 18S ribosomal RNA". It matches the Rfam family "Eukaryotic small subunit ribosomal RNA", at positions 1470 to 1796 of the family's 1831-position model. The record is from RNAcentral.